UGGCUAUGAUGAUAAAAUGUUUGUUUCUCGAUGCUGAGACUUGAAUUAUUCAAGGACUAUAUUUUGAUGAGCUCUGUGUGUGUCUGAGCCAG
Non-coding RNA from Zea mays, 92 nucleotides. The record is from Rfam. Lineage: Eukaryota; Viridiplantae; Streptophyta; Magnoliopsida; Poales; Poaceae.